This 2432-nucleotide long non-coding RNA is filed under the name Sorghum bicolor (sorghum). RNAcentral describes it as "long non-coding RNA (SBIC_LNC017227)". Lineage: Eukaryota; Viridiplantae; Streptophyta; Magnoliopsida; Poales; Poaceae. The record is from RNAcentral.
UCGCCAUGUUGCAUAUUCUCUAAUCCAUGAUAUUCUCGUUGGUUCUUUCUAGUUGCCUGGAAGAUGCCAUGAGCAGACAUAGUUGCGAUCCCAUCGCAGAUGAAGACUGGUCAUCCGAGAUCACGUUUGACUCCUGGUGUUGUAGAGCCGAUCCGGCCAUCCUGACUCCUGGUGCUAUAAAGCCGAUCCGGCCAUCCUGACUCCUGGUGCUAUAAAGCCGAUCCGGCCAUCCUGCUGUACGUGUCUUGAAGCCAUCGACCGACUCCAUGCCGUGCAUAUUCUGUUCUGCUCCAAAUAAUCCUACAGGGAUCAUCUUCGGCCAUGUAUCAAUUUAUCAUCCAUCUGCUUUCAGCCAUGGACUUCCGCAAAACAAGUAGUGUCCAGUCACGAAUAGACCACGAAGAAACAAGUAGGCUGUCUUGUGUACAUCUACAGCUACUACACGUCUAACCAAGAAGCCGAACAGUGCUGCUGUUUCACAUUGUGCCCAUGUUUGCUAGCACGAAGUAUCUCAACUGCUGCAACUGCAAGGCAGAUAAUCCUGACCACGCUAAGCAUGCAAGCUGGCUGGUGAAGCAUAGGCACCAUGAUUAACGAAAGGUUAGCAGCCAGAUUAGUUCCUUCUCACAUUAUUCUAUUGACUAAAUCAUGUGCUGAUGUCAUGCUAAUAACGCUUUGGUGCAAUUUCCAAUUCCCUGCAAUAAAAAAUAAUAAAUAGGAGUGCUUACACGUAACAAGCUUAAUUCAUGUAGGCACGAUUAAAGGUGUGUAUUAUUUUAUUGAUUAAAGAUAAUGCUGAUAUCAUAUAUAUGUCAUUCAUGCAUAAUAAAUCACUAUUGUCUAUUUAUUCCUCAAUUCAAGAAAAUCUAUCUUUUAUAUCACUGCUACAAAAUCGGCCUUUAGUACGGGCCGGGAAGAGGCUUUAGCCUCGGAUUCCAAGCCGGCGCUACGCUUCCGGGACUAAAGUCCCCCACCUUUAGUCCCGGCUCCAUGCACCGGGGCCAAAGCCCCACCGUUUAGUCCCGGGCAGUAUUACCAGCUGGGAUUAAAGGGUGCUGCCAGCGGUGCCACGCAGCAGCACCGUUUAGUCCCGGCUGUUAAUACCGCCCGGGGUUAAAGGGGCCCCUUGUUUUUUCUUUUUCUUUUCUUUUCACUUCUGUUUUUUAGUUUUAUUUAUUUAUACAAUAGGUUUUCCAAUAUGUAUUCUUUGCUGCUAGUAUAUAUAUAUAUAUAUAUAUACACUAGUGCCAUAUGACAAUAAGCUUAUUUUAUACAUAUAUAAUUGAAUUAUAUAACUACAUAUAUAUAUAAAUAUAUGCACAUAAAUAUAUAGAAGUUGUUCUCCAAAUCUAUUACUGCACAAGUUGUACUCCAAAGUUAAGACUCUAAACCUAUUACAAGUUGUACUUCAUCAUCGAAAGAUCUACAAAGCAUACAAAUGAUCAUCAUUGUUUUGAAUCAUCGUCUCGUUAGGAUUAUAGUGGAACUCGCCGCUUGGAUUUAUGACUUGUUUCCGAAGAAAUCCUGCUAUUGCCUCUUGUAUUGCUUGGAGUUGUUCAUGUUCCGUGAGUUUUGCUUCAACCAUUCAGUCUUCAAUUUGAAUUAAAAUAAGGUAUUAGUUAUAUCAAGAUUAUCAAUAGUAAUUCGAGAGAAAAUAAAAAGAGACAUGUGUUACAUACUCUGAGGUAUUCUUCAGGAAUUCUAUUUGUUUUUGCCAUAAUAUACUCGCAAACGUAGUAUCCACAUAAGUUGUUCCCCAGUUCUUGUCUCAAGAUCCACUGUAGGAUGUAAAGAUUCAUCUCGUAAAAAAGACAAAAUAUAAGAUAUAUCACGUACAUUGACGAAGGAUAAACUUACUUGUAGCUAUAUUCAAAAGUUGUGUAUAUAUUUAUUAUUUUUUAGUUUGUAGUCUAAUAAAUAUAUAUGCACCUUUUGAAGUGAUAUAUCUUUAGUCAUUGCUACUUCCAUAUUGUACAGAUAAGUUUUUUCCAAUAUCUUCUGAAUACAGCCCAUCGUGCAAAUGCUUCUCGUAUUAUUCUCUCUAGACUUAUCAUCAAUAGAGUAUUUGGACACAUCAUUAUUCAUAACUCAGGCAGAAAAUUCCAGGAAUGACUGCAGAGCCCUCGAUGCACUUUGCCGUAAAAUCAGUUCUUCAGAUGACAUAUCAUACACACAAUGAGAUAAUAUGGCGCCGACAUGCUCUUCUGUCAAGCCAAGAAACAACUGUGCCCUAACCUUGUCAUAGGUGUUAAGUCUUGUGUCAUAAUCUAGUUGCUAGGUGUUAAGUCUAUAUAUAUAUAUACAUAUAUAUCUAUGUAUAUCUAUAUAUAUUCACAAUACUGCAUUCUUCAUAUAUACAUAUAUUCGGCCGAGAAGAUCGAGGAUGAGCGAUGGUGGACAAGCGCACAGUGGCGACGACCAGACGGUGGACG